GAGUUUGAUCCUGGCUCAGAGCGAACGCUGGCGGCAGGCCUAACACAUGCAAGUCGAACGAACUCUUCGGAGUUAGUGGCGGACGGGUGAGUAACACGUGGGAACGUGCCUUUUGGUUCGGAAUAACUCAGGGAAACUUGUGCUAAUACCGAAUGUGCCCUUCGGGGAAGAUUUAUCGCCAUUAGAGCGGCCCGCGUCUGAUUAGCUAGUUGGUGAGGUAAAGGCUCACCAAGGCGACGAUCAGUAGCUGGUCUGAGAGGAUGAUCAGCCACAUUGGGACUGAGACACGGCCCAAACUCCUACGGGAGGCAGCAGUGGGGAAGUCUUGCGCAAUGGGCGAAAGCCUGACGCAGCCAUGCCGCGUGAAUGAUGAAGGUC
RNAcentral lists this ribosomal RNA (378 nucleotides) under uncultured microorganism. RNAcentral's name for it is "bacterial SSU rRNA". It matches the Rfam family "Bacterial small subunit ribosomal RNA", at positions 9 to 416 of the family's 1533-position model. The record is from RNAcentral.